CCUACGGGAGGCAGCAGUGGGGAAUAUUGGACAAUGGGCGAAAGCCUGAUCCAGCCAUGCCGCGUGUGUGAAGAAGGCCUUCGGGUUGUAAAGCACUUUCAGUGGGGAAGAAAGCCUUGGGGCUAAUACCCUCGAGGAAGGACAUCACCCACAGAAGAAGCACCGGCUAACUCCGUGCCAGCAGCCGCGGUAAUACGGAGGGUGUGAGCGUUAAUCGGAAUUACUGGGCGUAAAGCGCGCGUAGGCGGUCUGAUAAGCCGGUUGUGAAAGCCCCGGGCUCAACCUGGGAACGGCAUCCGGAACUGUCAGGCUAGAGUGCAGGAGAGGAAGGUAGAAUUCCCGGUGUAGCGGUGAAAUGCGUAGAGAUCGGGAGGAAUACCAGUGGCGAAGGCGGCCUUCUGGACUGACACUGACGCUGAGGUGCGAAAGCGUGGGUAGCAAACAGGAUUAGAUACCCGAGUAGUC
This 465-nucleotide ribosomal RNA is filed under the name Vreelandella stevensii. RNAcentral describes it as "partial 16S ribosomal RNA". It matches the Rfam family "Bacterial small subunit ribosomal RNA", at positions 338 to 795 of the family's 1533-position model. The record is from RNAcentral. Lineage: Bacteria; Pseudomonadati; Pseudomonadota; Gammaproteobacteria; Oceanospirillales; Halomonadaceae.